CUAGAUGAAUGUGGUAGAUGC
This 21-nucleotide non-coding RNA is filed under the name Arabidopsis thaliana (thale cress). Lineage: Eukaryota; Viridiplantae; Streptophyta; Magnoliopsida; Brassicales; Brassicaceae. The record is from RNAcentral.